UCAAUAAGCGGAGGAAAAGAAACUAACAAGGAUUCCCCUAGUAACGGCGAGUGAAGAGGGAAGAGCCCAAGAUUGAAAGCUGGCGUCUUCGGCGUCCGCAUUGUAAUCUCAAGAAGUGUUUUCCGCUUCGGACCAAGCCUAAGUCCCCUGGAAAGGGGCAUCAUAGAGGGUGAUAAUCCCGUACAUGGCUUGGAGCGCCCGAGGCUUUGUGAUACGCUUUCUAAGAGUCGAGUUGUUUGGGAAUGCAGCUCAAAAUGGGUGGUAAAUGCCAUCUAAGGCUAAAUAUUGGGGAGAGACCGAUAGCGAACAAGUACAGUGAUGGAAAGAUGAAAAGAACUUUGAAAAGAGAGUUAAACAGUACGUGAAAUUGCCAAAAGGGAAGGGUAGGAGGUCAGAGAUGCGGCCUGGGAUUCAGCCUUGCUUUUGCUUGGUGUUUUUCCCAGAUUGCAGGCCAACGUCGGUUUUGGGCACUGGAGAAGGGUAGGAGGAACGUGGCACCCCUCGGGGUGUGUUAUAGCCUCCUACUGGAUACAGCGACCGAGACCGAGGACAGCAGCGUACUCGCAAGAGCGGGCCUUCGGGCACCUUUACGCUUAGGGCGUUGGCAUAAUGGCCCUCUACCACCCGUCUUGAAACACGGA
This 641-nucleotide ribosomal RNA is filed under the name Moesziomyces antarcticus. RNAcentral describes it as "eukaryotic LSU rRNA". It matches the Rfam family "Eukaryotic large subunit ribosomal RNA", at positions 43 to 665 of the family's 3401-position model. The record is from RNAcentral. Lineage: Eukaryota; Fungi; Basidiomycota; Ustilaginomycetes; Ustilaginales; Ustilaginaceae.